Gossypium arboreum is the source of this 859-nucleotide long non-coding RNA. RefSeq lists it as uncharacterized. The record is from RefSeq and is a predicted model, not a curated record. NCBI's taxonomy places the organism in Eukaryota, Viridiplantae, Streptophyta, Magnoliopsida, Malvales, Malvaceae. The transcript is spliced from 2 exons.
AAUAAUGUAAAAUUGUCGAUUUACAUACUCAUUUUUGAAAUUGGAAAGAUUAAAUUACUCUGGUUUUUUAAAGAUAUCAAAUUUAAGAGAAGCUGUUUUUACCCAUUUUUUUAAUUCCAAAUUUAUAAAAAUUACAAAUUUCCCACCCGCUAUUAUCCUCGGCCAGAAUGGCGGCAAAGAACAAAAGAAAGUAACACGGGCUUAACAGCAGCCCAAAGCUGGCAAAGAAUUGAGAAUGUUGUUGAGGACAGCUACGGAUUUCAAAUUACAGAAAUGGCUUUUACAAAAGAGGGAAAAUGAUGGAAGCCCAUUUAAUUUGUUUGAAUGUUGGGUGUUUCAAUUCAACGGAAAUGAAUCGCCAUUGUUGCUUCACGGGGAAGUUUCUGGUCAUUGCGAAGUAUAUCUACAUUGCUAUUGGUCUGCCAAAACCAUGGACGGCCAAUUUUGUUCCUCUGAUCUUGCUGAAGCAAUGUACUAUUGAUCUGCAAACCAUUUGCUGUUGUUUCGGCAAGGCAGAGGAAUCGGUACGUUUCUGUUACCAACAUGACGUGUAGCCCUUCACUACAGAACAUUUCGAAGCGUCCAUUGUCUGGAUUUUGUUAGCAAAAUUAUCCCCUUAAAUGAUAUCCAUUAAAAGCAGGAGAAAUGAUAUCCAUUAAAAGCAGGAGCUUGUUCAAGGUGCUAGAAAUUUUGUACUUUGACCACUUUAAAUAGAUCUCAAGGUGUUGUCUGGAAAUUUGCCUAUGGAGUCUCUGCCUGAAUGUGAGUGCAAGUUCAUUGGAAGGUAUGUUUUACACAUAUAUUGAAAGAUUUCAAGAGAGCUUUGAAUAAAAUUGUACUUCUCUUAUUAACUAAAGAA